RNAcentral lists this ribosomal RNA (253 nucleotides) under uncultured bacterium. RNAcentral's name for it is "partial 16S ribosomal RNA". It matches the Rfam family "Bacterial small subunit ribosomal RNA", at positions 524 to 776 of the family's 1533-position model. The record is from RNAcentral.
UACAGAGGUCUCAAGCGUUGUUCGGAUUCAUUGGGCGUAAAGGGCGCGCAGGUGGUUCUGUAUGUCUACCGUGAAAGCGUACGGCUCAACCGUAUUUUGUCGGUAGAAACUGCAGGACUUGAGGCUGGGAGGGGCUGGUGGAAUUCCCUGUGUAGCGGUGAAAUGCGUAGAGAUGGGGGAGAACACUCGUGGCGAAGGCGGCCAGCUAGACCAGUUCUGACACUGAGGCGCGACAGCGUGGGGAGCAAACAGG